UACAGAGAGUGCGAACGUUGUUCGGAAUUACUGGGCUUAAAGCGCACGUAGGCGGCAUCGUAAGUGUCCGGUGAAAUCCCACGGCUCACCCGUGGAACUGCCUGGCAGACUGCGAUGCUCGAGUGUGGUAGGGGAGAGCGGAACUCCUGGUGGAGCGGUGAAAUGCGUAGAUAUCAGGAGGAACACCGGUGGCGAAGGCGGCAUCCUGGACCGAGAUUGACGCUGAUGCGCGAAAGCCAGGGGAGCAAACGGG
This 253-nucleotide ribosomal RNA is filed under the name uncultured bacterium. RNAcentral describes it as "partial 16S ribosomal RNA". It matches the Rfam family "Bacterial small subunit ribosomal RNA", at positions 524 to 776 of the family's 1533-position model. The record is from RNAcentral.